This 210-nucleotide ribosomal RNA is filed under the name uncultured bacterium. Its description in RNAcentral is "partial 16S ribosomal RNA". It matches the Rfam family "Bacterial small subunit ribosomal RNA", at positions 524 to 733 of the family's 1533-position model. The record is from RNAcentral.
UACGUAGGGACCAAGCGUUGUCCGGAAUCAUUGGGCGUAAAGCGCGCGUAGGUGGCCAUUUAAGUCCGCUGUGAAAGUCAGAGGCUCAACCUUUGAAAGCCGGUGGAUACUGGAUGGCUAGAGUACGGAAGAGGCGAGUGGAAUUCCUGGUGUAGCGGUGAAAUGCGCAGAUAUCAGGAGGAACACCAGUGGCGAAGGCGGAUCUCUGGG